RNAcentral lists this ribosomal RNA (537 nucleotides) under uncultured bacterium. RNAcentral describes it as "partial 16S ribosomal RNA". It matches the Rfam family "Bacterial small subunit ribosomal RNA", at positions 355 to 901 of the family's 1533-position model. The record is from RNAcentral.
UGGGGAAUAUUGCACAAUGGGCGCAAGCCUGAUGCAGCAACGCCGCGUGAGGGAUGACGGCCUUCGGGUUGUAAACCUCUUUUAGCAGGGAAGAAGCGAAAGUGACGGUACCUGCAGAAAAAGCACCGGCUAACUACGUGCCCGCAGCCGCGGUAAUACGUAGGGUGCAAGCGUUGUCCGGAAUUAUUGGGCGUAAAGAGCUCGUAGGCGGUCUGUCGCGUCUGCUGUGAAAUCCCGAGGCUCAACCUCGGGCCUGCAGUGGGUACGGGCAGACUAGAGUGCGGUAGGGGAGAAUGGAACUCCUGGUGUAGCGGUGGAAUGCGCAGAUAUCAGGAAGAACACCGAUGGCGAAGGCAGUUCUCUGGGCCGUAACUGACGCUGAGGAGCGAAAGCGUGGGGAGCGAACAGGAUUAGAUACCCUGGUAGUCCACGCCGUAAACGUUGGGCGCUAGAUGUGGGGCACCAUUCCACGGUUUCCGUGUCGCAGCUAACGCAUUAAGCGCCCCGCCUGGGGAGUACGGCCGCAAGGCUAAAACU